AGGGCGCAGGGCGAAUGCCUUGGCACUGGGAGCCGAUGAAAGACGUGAUAAGCUGCGAUAAGCUUCGGGGAGCUGCAAAUAAGCAUUGAUCCGGAGAUUUCUGAAUGAGGAAACUCACCUGGGUUCAUACUCAGGUACGUUAUACUGAACUUCAAAAUAGGUAUAUCGAGGGAACCGCCUGAACUGAAACAUCUAAGUAGGGCGAGGAAGAGACAUCAAACGAGAUUCCGUAAGUAGUGGCGAGCGAACGCGGAAGAGGGCAAACCGGAAGUAGAAAUACUUCCGGGGUACGGACCGCAUUUAGGACUUAAGUUGUUAACCGAACGGCAUGGGAAGGCCGGUCAGAGAGUGUGAGAACCACGUAGGUGAAAACGGAGAGAGCUGCGCAGGAUCCAGAGUACGGCCAGACACGUGAAACCUGGUCGGAAUACGGGGGGACCACCCUCCAACCCUAAAUACUACCCAGUGACCGAUAGCGUAUAGUACUGUGAAGGAAAGGUGAAAAGCACCCCGGGAGGGGAGUGAAAAAGAACCUGAAACCCUGUGCCUACAAGCACCUAGAGCACGUCAAUGUGUGAUAGGGUACUUUUUGUAGAACGGUCCGGCGAGCGAUUGUAUGCAGCAAGGUUAAGGACUUAAGGUCUGGAGCCGAAGCGAAAGCGAGUUUGAAAAGGGCGUUAAGUUGCAUAUAAUGGGCCCGAAACCGGGUGACCUACCCAUGGUCAGGUUGAAGUGGAAGUAAAAUUCCAUGGAGGACCGAACCGACCUCCGUUGAAAAGGCGGCGGAUGAACUGUGGGUAGCGGAGAAAUUCCAAUCGAACCCGGAGAUAGCUGGUUCUCUCCGAAAUAGCUUUAGGGCUAGCCUUGAAAUAGAUUACCGGAGGUAAAGCACUGAAUUGGCUAGGGGCCGAGAGGUUACUGAACCUUAUCAAACUAAGAAUGCCGGAUAAUCGUUUUUCAGGAGUCAGACAGUGGGAGAUAAGUUUCAUUGUCAAAAGGGAAACAGCCCAGACCCACAGCUAAGGUCCCCAAGUAUAGUUAAGUGGAAAAGGAUGUGGAAUUGCACAGACAACCAGGAUGUUGGCUUAGAAGCAGCCACUCAUUUAAAGAGUGCGUAAUAGCUCACUGGUCGAGUGAUUCUGCGCCGAAAAUUUCCGGGGCUAAAACUUACUACCGAAGCUACGGCAUCAUUAUGAUGGGUAGGGGAGCUUUCUAUGCGGCUUGAAGCAUGACCGUAAGGACAUGUGGACUGCAUAGAAGUGAGAAUGUUGGCAUGAGUAGCGAGAUGUGGGUGAGAAUCCCACAGGCCGUAAACCCAAGGUUUCCAGGGGAAGGUUCGUCCGCCCUGGGUUAGUCAGGACCUAAGCCGAGGCCGAAAGGCGUAGGUGAUGGACAACAGGUUGAUAUUCCUGUACCGCCAAUAAGCGUUUGAGAGAUGGAGUGACACAGUAGGAUAAGCUAACCGUACUGUUGGUUAUGUACGGCUAAGCAUUGAGGCAGUCUAAAUAGGCAAAUCCGUUUAGACAAUGCUAGGAUGUGAUGGGGAAGCCCUUCGGGGCGAAGUAGCUGAUUUCACACUGUCAAGAAAAGCUUCUAUCGAGUUUAAAGGCGCCCGUACCGUAAACCGACACAGGUGGGUGAGGAGAGUAUCCUAAGGCCAGCGAGAGAACUGUUGUUAAGGAACUCGGCAAAAUGACCCCGUAACUUAGGGAGAAGGGGUGCCUUCGAAAGAAGGCCGCAGAGAAUAGGCCCAAGCGACUGUUUACCAAAAACAUAGGUUUCUGCUAAGUCGCAAGACGAUGUAUAGGAGCUGACGCCUGCCCGGUGCUGGAAGGUUAAGGGGAUCUGUUAGAGCAAUCGAAGCAGUGAACUUAAGCCCCAGUAAACGGCGGCCGUAACUAUAACGGUCCUAAGGUAGCGAAAUUCCUUGUCGGGUAAGUUCCGACCCGCACGAAAGGCGUAACGAUUUGGGCACUGUCUCAACAACAGACUCGGUGAAAUUGUAAUACCGGUGAAGAUGCCGGUUACCUGCGACAGGACGGAAAGACCCCAUGGAGCUUUACUGUAGCUUGACAUUGAGUCUCGGUGCUACAUGUACAGGAUAGGUGGGAGACUAUGAAGCAUGGACGUCAGUCUGUGUGGAGUCAUCCUUGGGAUACCACCCUUGUAGUACUGGGAUUCUAACCAGAGGCCAUGAAUCUGGUCUUGGGACACUGUCAGGUGGACAGUUUGACUGGGGCGGUCGCCUCCCAAAAAGUAACGGAGGCGCUCAAAGGUUCUCUCAGUACGGUCGGAAAUCGUACGAAGAGUGUAAAGGCAAAAGAGAGCUUGAUUGCAAGACAUACAGGUCGAGCAAGGACGAAAGUCGGACUUAGUGAUCCGGUGGUACCGCAUGGAAGGGCCAUCGCUCAACGGAUAAAAGCUACCCUGGGGAUAACAGGCUUAUCUCCCCCAAGAGUUCACAUCGACGGGGAGGUUUGGCACCUCGAUGUCGGCUCGUCGCAUCCUGGGGCUGAAGCAGGUCCCAAGGGUUUGGCUGUUCGCCAAUUAAAGCGGCACGCGAGCUGGGUUCAGAACGUCGUGAGACAGUUCGGUCCCUAUCCAUCGUGGGCGUAGGAGUCAUGAGAGGAGCUGUUCCUAGUACGAGAGGACCGGAAUGGACGCACCACUGGUGCAACUGUUGUCGUGCCAACGGCAUAGCAGGGAAGCGAAGUGCGGAUGGGAUAAACGCUGAAGGCAUCUAAGCGUGAAGCCCACCUCAAGAAUAAGACUCCACAAUAGACCCCUGGAGGAUUACCAGGUAGAUAGGUCAUCGGUGGAAGCGCUGUAAGGCGUGU
RNAcentral lists this ribosomal RNA (2837 nucleotides) under human gut metagenome. RNAcentral's name for it is "bacterial LSU rRNA". It matches the Rfam family "Bacterial large subunit ribosomal RNA". The record is from RNAcentral.